ACUAUCUGGGGUCACCUGUCCCUCAGUGAGUCCGUCGCAGAAAUCACCGCUUGGUCUGCACCUCGUCGACGUACUCCUCUGUCAACAAUCUCCCGAAGCAAGCUCACAACCUCUUUCUGAGUGCCCUCAAGCUGAUCCAUUCUGUACGACAACGCGUUAUGGGCCUCGACCAAGGCGUCAGGAUAGAUGAUUCUGGUUCCGGGAAAGUACGACUCCGGCAUGCUCACGGAUCCCUCGUAGCCCUCACCAAGGGCGGGACUAGACUGAGAGGGAGGACUGAUCUCUUACAAGCUUGACAUCUGUGGAGCGCCCCCUCCCACUGUGGUCGACAAAAUGUUGAAGGUAGUUCUUAGUAGGAUAAGGAGAUCGUUUCACGUAAGCCAGGAGAUCUGAGAUCAGUAUCCAAGUGGAGAUCCAAGCAACACAAGGGACUCUUUGAUAGUGAAGAUUAAGAAAGGGAAGGCCGACCUCGGUACCCAAUGAACUCGAGCUCAACUGUGCAAAGUUAUAAGAGUGGUAGUUACCUGCCUUAAAGGCUGAUUAACGCUCCUAUUUAUAGUGCUUACUUCCUCGGAUAAUAUCCCUCAUUUGGGUGAGCCCGACUUUACCCAAGGGUCUGAGGGUCUCCCCUCCAGACAGAUGGGACGUUGACGGAUGGAUGGCGGUGCUUUGCCCCCCGGUCCGAAGGGGUAAUGGCGCUCCUUAAUUAUUACAGAUCUUGUCAAAUGUCUUUCGUAAUUAAUGCCCUCUCAUAGCUCGAACUCGAGUACCGAAUGUCCUUUCCCCCUUGCAUUGGCCCCGGACCGAGGCGGUGCCUUGGAUCUCAGCCACUUGUCCACAUACCCUCAGAUUCCCGAACCCAGUAUAGGAGUGAGCCUUUUCCGAGGUUCUGCCUUCUCAACCUCACGAGGCCACAUCCCGACUCUACAUCUCGCGGUCUCUCUAUCCAUAAAGAGGAGUUCACAAAGUAGGGAGCUCGAGGUCACUCCAGCGGGGAGUGACCUCGGAAGGGCAGGAAACCUCGAGGUCGCUUCAGCAGGGGGCGACCUCGGAAGAACGGGAAACCUCGAGGUCGCUCCAGCAGGGGGCGGCCUCGGAAGAACGGGAAACCUCGAGGUCGCUCCAGCAGGGGGCGGCCUCAAAAGAACGGGAAACUUCGAGGUCGCUCCAGCAGGGGGUGGCCUCGGAAGAACGGGAAACUUCGAGGUCACUCCAGCAGGGGGCGACCUCGGAAGAAUAGGAAGGAUGGGCCCAUCCGACUGGAGCGGGGCGCAUCCUUAGGAGAGGAAGGGUAGUGACCCCCUCCUCGUUCAGCAAGUCCAGUUGCGGGACAAGUAGCUCGAGGAUACUUGGUCCCUUUAGGGGUGGGGGCAUGCCAAAUAAGUAUUGGCCAGGUGUGCCUAUUUUCAGAGGUGGCGCCACUUGGACAGCUAGCAUGGUGCGAUCGUCAACAAUGUGUAAUUUCUGAAACUUGUUAUUAUAAAUAGAAUGUGGUGGAAGGAUGAAAGAAUUCUUUCAUUCCUUUUCUCUUUCUGUAAUGUUUCCAUUUUUCUUUUUCUGAAAAUUUUGUUAUUGCAAGGGCAUCUUAGUCUUUUCAUGUUUUGCAUGCCGGACACCAUGGGGUGCGCCUGGUGUGUCGGAGAGUUGUUUGGAGCAUUCCAUUGAGUUUAGGACUCUUGGAAAUGCAAUGUUGGUCAUUUUUGCAUUUUUUCAAUUUUCGGACCGGACGGACCCGUGUGGGACCCGCUACCGGUAUUGUUGUGUACGGGGAUUUUAGUUGGGUUCGUUUGUAUCUCAUUUAUUUUAUUUUAUAUGUUUUAUGUGGUAUUUUAUAUGGUUAUGUACAUAUUUAAUUGUGUGGUGCAAAAUAAGAAUUUAAAAAUAAAGUUAAAAAGGAAAAGAAUUUGGGAAGUGGUGGGACCCACCACCGGCGGCCAAGAGACCACAAUAUGGUCUCAUUCUCUCUCCCUUCUCACAGGUUCUCUCUCUCUCUCUCAAUUUCACUUCAUUUUCUUUUUUCUUUGAAGUUUUGAUUUCUCCCUCAAUACUUGGAAUUUUUGGAAACUGUUGGCGGCAAUUCGAAGAGCACGGCAAGAUCUUCACUUCCAUAUAAGCAAUUUUAGUUUUAGUGCACUCUAGGGAUUCCAAUUUUGAGACCCAUUUUGGGGUUUUUUCAUCCUUCUUGAGGUAGGGGUCUCUAAUUCAUGUUUUUCUUGUGCCUUUGUGAAUUAAUUUCUUGUUAAUUGUUUUUAACGUGUUUAGUUGGUGUUAAUUUCCCCUAAAAUGAUUUAAUUGUGGUGUAUAAAGUUCAUGAUUAUAUGUAUUAGUUGAUUUGUAUGAAAAGCAUGUCUGAGUGUUGAUUUUUUUUGCCUAUUGUGUUGUUAGCUUGCUGGAAAUGAUGUAUGGAAGUAUGUGUAAUUUUCUUAGAAUUUCUUGUAAAGCAUGCUUAAUUGUGUUGUAUGAAAAUCCCUUAUUAUCUUAGCAUUGAAAGUAUGAGUCAUGUAUGCAAUUGCAUUGGGUAUGAAUGAGGGGAAAUGAUUUGAAAUAAAAGAAAAAGAGAUUUUUGGGAAGAAUUUUGAUAAAAUGGUUUUAAGAAAACCCGGUCGCCGCGGAGUUACCAAAGGGCCGUGGUAUUAAUAUAACCUAGAGGGAAUUAGGGAAAUCACCCUAGCGUGGUUGAGCUAGCUGGUCCUAAAUAACACCACGGGAGUACCAAGGGUCAAUGAUAGUGGCCAAUCCUUCUCUCGUGUCGCUGCGGAGUCACCAAAGGACAGACUAUAUUAACAGUUUGAAAAGUGAUGGAUUUGGAUUUUGAAAAUGGAGAGCAACAUACACGGCAUUGCAUCUCAUGGCACGACAUUGUUUACUUUGAAUUUGGAAUUGAUGUUGUAUUCUUUCCCGGCAUAACAUGACCCCUAUCCUCUAUUCUUAUUCAUUAUUUGGAUUCGCGGGGCCACAAGAGGUGUGUCUUAGGCACCACCUACUGAGCAAUUUGCUCACCCCCUUAUAUUUAACGUUUUUCAGGUCAUGGAAAGGAGAUGGCGAAUGAUAAUCCUCCACAUGUUUGAAGAGGACUUGGAGUUCAUUUCUUUUGCUAUCUUUUGUAAUUAGGCCAUUCUUUUGUAAAAGCCUUAUUGUAGAAAUGCAAUUAAGUUAGCUGCCUUGGCCUUGUAAUUUACCUAUGAACUUGACUCUAAUUUGUCGGAUAUUUGAACAAGAAUGUAAAAACAAUGUAUCAUAUAUAUAUAUUUGAAUGGUUGAUGGAGUUGCCUUGUAUAUAAAAUGUUAAGGAUCAUGACCAUGAUAUGUAGUUUACCACUUGGGGAGUUUUUAGAACAAGUUUGAAGCAGGUUUGCAAAGUUUUCUAUAGACUAUUUUUCAUUUUCAGGAUUUUCAGCAUUUCCAGUAGCUGGGGUAGCGCGCAGAGCCAUUUCGGUCAACCGAAAUGCCUGCUUCGGUCGACCGGUUCGUUCAGAGAUUUCAGUAGUUGUUGAAGUCCCAUUUCGGUCGAUUGGUUCAAGGGAGUUGCUUCGGCCGACCGAAGCCCUAUUUCGGUCAAUCAAAGUGCAUCUGUCCUGUACAUUUUGUUCUCCUCUCCAAUGUAAUUAAUCCUAAACCUUGGAGAUUUGUUUUGAGCCGUUGUGAAAGCCUAGUGAUGAUCUUAAAGGUGAUGUUUUGACAUUAGAAAUGACGGGUUUGACAUAGAUGACCUCGGGUUCGAGUAAGGACCUAGCUAACGGUUCGGACCUCCGGGUUCGGGUCAUUACACUUUCCCCAUCUCUCUUUCUUUUUCUCUCAUCCGCUUUCUUCUUCUUCUUUAUCACUUACUCUUGAUUUGAUUAUAUCUUAAAGUCAACAUGGUAUUAGAGCAUGGUUUGUAAAGCUCUAGGUGUGUAGUUGAAACCCUAGGGCAAGUUUGUGUAAACCCUAGUGGGUGUGAAGGGUUUUGAAGAGAUUCCAAGAUGGGGUUUGUUUGCAAGGAAGUAGUGUUAAUCACAGGACGUACCGCGGAUCCAACUCUGAAAUUGACAACUUUGCACAAGUUUUUAAGCCCAGUCCAUAUACAAAGAAUAGACUCUGAAUAGUGAACUUCAACCACAUCUUUCUGGGAUCUUAAUUUAAUCUCUUCUAGUAGAAACUGAAAAGUAGAAAGUUGCGAGCUUUUGUUGAUCCUAGAGAGAUGUUGCAGUGUAUAUUUCUUCUAUCAGAUUCUGGGUAAGUUACAAUUUUUUUUAGCACUCUUUUAUCUUCAUUUCUUCGUACUUAUAAUUAUUUGAACCAUAAACAUCUUCGUUUCCCAAAUUCACUACCUUGAUCUGUCUGUAUAUCUUAUCCAUGUUAUAAAUAUCGAAUUGUUUAUUGUUUUGCCGAAUUUUGCAUAGUGAGGUAUUGGGUUGCCGAGAAGUCGAUGGAAAAUAAAAGAGAACUUUAGAAUUUUACAAUUACCAUUCAUACCAGUGCCUUUAUGUAUAAGAUUCUGAUAGAAUUGGAAUCAAACUGAUAUUUACUAUUUUUAGUCAUCUGAAUUGGGGAAAAAGAAUGAAGAUAUGUUUUCAUAUGAUAUACUUACUGUGAUUCCAAUCAUUGGUUUUUAAAAUGAGGGGAAAAAAAAAAAAAUUUGUUUGUGAUUUGUAUAUGUAUUUACAGGGAGGUAAUGCUAACAGGCACCGGGUUGAGUGGGCCAUUUGUGUUUGAUUUUGGGAGCAAGCAAUCUCUCAGGGUGAUCCCUUCAAGGUUGCACCUGUAAUUGCUUCACCGACACAUUACCUUUUCCAAGUUGUUCGCAUGCACCCAGGUUGAAAUGCCGCCUUUAAUGGGAAUUGAGGUCUUGGAAAAGAAUCGGCGGAUGCCAAUCCACCUCAAAAUUGAAAGUUGUUAGAAGAUGAUUUUUGCUAUUUUGUAUUUGGCCAUUUCAUGUAUAAUUAUAAUUUUUGGAGAAUGUAAAUAAGUUUGCAAUGUUGGCCAUUGGAUGAUGUAAUUAAGUUUUAUUCAAUCAUAAGCCUUUUGUGUAUUUAA
Long non-coding RNA from Cornus florida, 5016 nucleotides. RefSeq lists it as uncharacterized. The record is from RefSeq and is a predicted model, not a curated record. NCBI's taxonomy places the organism in Eukaryota, Viridiplantae, Streptophyta, Magnoliopsida, Cornales, Cornaceae. The transcript is spliced from 3 exons.